RNAcentral lists this long non-coding RNA (268 nucleotides) under Elaeis guineensis (African oil palm). RNAcentral describes it as "long non-coding RNA (EGUI_LNC045002)". The record is from RNAcentral. Lineage: Eukaryota; Viridiplantae; Streptophyta; Magnoliopsida; Arecales; Arecaceae.
AGCAUCAUAGUGGAAAUAUUUUCUCUUUGCUUCAGCUUUCUUUGAAAUGUCCUUCUUUGACUUGCUCUCUUUCUUCUGCUUCUUAGUAGAUUUAAUCUUCUUCUUCUAACUAGACUUUCUCUUGAAAAAAAUCUGCUCUAUAGUGAGAAUAGUACCUCUUGAACUCUUCAAGGUUCUCUUAGUAGUGACCAACAUGUUGACCAGUUUGGAUAUAGUGCAAUCAAGUUUGUUCAUAUAAAAAUUUAUAAUAAAUUGACUAUAUGAACUU